ACAAGCGGAGGAGCAUGUGGUUUAAUUCGAUGAUACGCGAGGAACCUUACCUGGGCUCGAACGUAAGAUGACUGUAGGUGAAAGCUUACAUCUCUUCGGAGCAUUUUACGAGGUGCUGCAUGGUUGUCGUCAGCUCGUGCCGUGAGGUGUCGGGUUAAGUCCCAUAACGAGCGCAACCCCUACCUUUAGUUGCCAUCAGGUUAAGCUGGGGACUCUAAAGGAACUGCCUACGCAAGUAGUGAGGAAGGCGGGGAUGACGUCAAAUCAGCACGGCCCUUACGUCCAGGGCUACACACGUGCUACAAUGGCCGAUACAGAGGGCAGCUACCUGGUGACAGGAUGCAAAUCUCCAAAGUCGGUCUCAGUUCGGAUCGGAGUCUGCAACCCGACUCCGUGAAGCUGGAUUCGCUAGUAAUCGCGCAUCAGCCACGGCGCGGUGAAUACGUUCCCGGGCCUC
Molecule: ribosomal RNA, 457 nt
Filed under: uncultured Sphingobacteriales bacterium
Lineage: Bacteria; Pseudomonadati; Bacteroidota; Sphingobacteriia; Sphingobacteriales
Description: bacterial SSU rRNA
Rfam family: Bacterial small subunit ribosomal RNA
Source: RNAcentral